RNAcentral lists this ribosomal RNA (1165 nucleotides) under Levilactobacillus brevis. RNAcentral describes it as "bacterial SSU rRNA". It matches the Rfam family "Bacterial small subunit ribosomal RNA", at positions 149 to 1301 of the family's 1533-position model. The record is from RNAcentral. Lineage: Bacteria; Bacillati; Bacillota; Bacilli; Lactobacillales; Lactobacillaceae.
CUUGGAAACAGGUGCUAAUACCGUAUAACAACAAAAUCCGCAUGGAUUUUGUUUGAAAGGUGGCUUCGGCUAUCACUUCUGGAUGAUCCCGCGGCGUAUUAGUUAGUUGGUGAGGUAAAGGCCCACCAAGACGAUGAUACGUAGCCGACCUGAGAGGGUAAUCGGCCACAUUGGGACUGAGACACGGCCCAAACUCCUACGGGAGGCAGCAGUAGGGAAUCUUCCACAAUGGACGAAAGUCUGAUGGAGCAAUGCCGCGUGAGUGAAUAAGGGUUUCGGCUCGUAAAACUCUGUUGUUAAAGAAGAACACCUUUGAGAGUAACUGUUCAAGGGUUGACGGUAUUUAACCAGAAAGCCACGGCUAACUACGUGCCAGCAGCCGCGGUAAUACGUACGUGGCAAGCGUUGUCCGGAUUUAUUGGGCGUAAAGCGAGCGCAGGCGGUUUUUUAAGUCUGAUGUGAAAGCCUUCGGCUUAACCGGAUAAGUGCAUCGGAAACUGGGAGACUUGAGUGCAGAAGAGGACAGUGGAACUCCAUGUGUAGCGGUGGAAUGCGUAGAUAUAUGGAAGAACACCAGUGGCGAACGCGGCUGUCUAGUCUGUAACUGACGCUGAGGCUCGAAAGCAUGGGUAGCGAACAAGAUUAGAUACCCUGGUAGUCCAUGCCGUAAACGAUGAAUGCUAAGUGUUGGAGGGUUUCCGCCCUUCAGUGCUGCAGCUAACGCAUUAAGCAAUCCGCCUGGGGAGUACGACCGCAAGGUUGAAACUCAAAGGAAUUGACGGGGGCCCGCACAAGCGGUGGAGCAUGUGGUUUAAUUCGAAGCUACGCGAAGAACCUUACCAGGUCUUGACAUCUUCUGCCAAUCUUAGAGAUAAGACGUUCCCUUCGGGAACAGAAUGACAGGUGGUGCAUGGUUGUCGUCAGCUCGUGUCGUGAGAUGUUGGGUUAAGUCCCGCAACGAGCGCAACCCUUAUUAUCAGUUGCCAGCAUUCAGUUGGGCACUCUGGUGAGACUGCCGGUGACAAACCGGAGGAAGGUGGGGAUGACGACAAAUCAUCAUGCCCCUUAUGACCUGGGCUACACACGUGCUACAAUGGACGGUACAACGAGAUGCGAAGUCGUGAGGGUAAGCUAAUCUCUUAAAGCCGUUCUCAGUUCGGAUUGU